RNAcentral lists this ribosomal RNA (232 nucleotides) under uncultured bacterium. RNAcentral describes it as "partial 16S ribosomal RNA". It matches the Rfam family "Bacterial small subunit ribosomal RNA", at positions 524 to 755 of the family's 1533-position model. The record is from RNAcentral.
UACGAAGGGGGCUAGCGUUGUUCGGAAUUACUGGGCGUAAAGCGCACGUAGGCGGAUACUUAAGUCAGGGGUGAAAUCCCGGGGCUCAACCCCGGACUGCCUUUGUAUACUGGGUAUCUGGAGUCCGGAAGAGGUGAGUGGAAUUCCGAGUGUAGAGGUGAAAUUCGUAGAUAUUCGGAGGAACACCAGUGGCGAAGGCGGCUCACUGGUCCGGUACUGACGCUGAGGUGCG